This is a long non-coding RNA of Nothoprocta perdicaria, 84 nucleotides long. RefSeq lists it as uncharacterized. The record is from RefSeq and is a predicted model, not a curated record. The transcript is spliced from 2 exons. Lineage: Eukaryota; Metazoa; Chordata; Aves; Tinamiformes; Tinamidae.
UAACUCAUAUUCAUGUGAGAAGCCACACUGAGAGCUCUGCAAGUAAGCCAGCAGUGGGGACUGCAUGUUGACUGUAAUAGGAUU